RNAcentral lists this ribosomal RNA (107 nucleotides) under Caerostris darwini. Lineage: Eukaryota; Metazoa; Arthropoda; Arachnida; Araneae; Araneidae. The record is from RNAcentral.
CUGUACCAUGCUGAAUAUACCGGUUCUCGUUAGAUCACCAAAGUUAAGCAUCAUUGGGCGCGGUCAGUACUUGGGUGGGUGACCACCUGGGAACACUGCGUGCCGUU